This 494-nucleotide ribosomal RNA is filed under the name uncultured bacterium. Its description in RNAcentral is "bacterial SSU rRNA". It matches the Rfam family "Bacterial small subunit ribosomal RNA", at positions 29 to 517 of the family's 1533-position model. The record is from RNAcentral.
AUUGAACGCUGGCGGAAUGCUUUACACAUGCAAGUCGAGCGGCAGCGCGGGGCAACCUGGCGGCGAGCGGCGAACGGGUGAGUAAUGUAUCGGAACGUGUCCUGUCGUGGGGGAUAGCCCGGUGAAAACCGGAUUAAUACCGCAUACGAUCGAGAGAUGAAAGUGGGGGACCGCAAGGCCUCACGCGAUAGGAGCGGCCGAUAUCUGAUUAGCUAGUUGGUGGGGUAAAGGCCCACCAAGGCGACGAUCAGUAGCUGGUCUGAGAGGAUGAUCAGCCACACUGGGACUGAGACACGGUCCAGACUCCUACGGGAGGCAGCAGUAGGGAAUAUUGGACAAAUGGGGGCGAACCCUGAUCCAGCCAUGCCGCGUGAGUGAAGAAGGCCCUCGGGUUGUAAAGCUCUUUUGUCCGGAAAGAAAAGCAAUCGGUUAAUACCCGGUUGUUCUGACGGUACCGGAAGAAUAAGCACCGGCUAACUUCGUGCCAGCAGCCG